Molecule: ribosomal RNA, 572 nt
Filed under: Pseudomonas sp.
Lineage: Bacteria; Pseudomonadati; Pseudomonadota; Gammaproteobacteria; Pseudomonadales; Pseudomonadaceae
Description: bacterial SSU rRNA
Rfam family: Bacterial small subunit ribosomal RNA
Source: RNAcentral
GUCGCAAGACCAAAGUGGGGGACCUUCGGGCCUCAUGCCAUCAGAUGUGCCCAGAUGGGAUUAGCUAGUAGGUGGGGUAAUGGCUCACCUAGGCGACGAUCCCUAGCUGGUCUGAGAGGAUGACCAGCCACACUGGAACUGAGACACGGUCCAGACUCCUACGGGAGGCAGCAGUGGGGAAUAUUGCACAAUGGGCGCAAGCCUGAUGCAGCCAUGCCGCGUGUAUGAAGAAGGCCUUCGGGUUGUAAAGUACUUUCAGCGAGGAGGAAGGCGUUAAGGUUAAUAACCUUAGCGAUUGACGUUACUCGCAGAAGAAGCACCGGCUAACUCCGUGCCAGCAGCCGCGGUAAUACGGAGGGUGCAAGCGUUAAUCGGAAUUACUGGGCGUAAAGCGCACGCAGGCGGUUUGUUAAGUCAGAUGUGAAAUCCCCGGGCUCAACCUGGGAACUGCAUUUGAAACUGGCAAGCUUGAGUCUUGUAGAGGGGGGUAGAAUUCCAGGUGUAGCGGUGAAAUGCGUAGAGAUCUGGAGGAAUACCGGUGGCGAAGGCGGCCCCCUGGACAAAGACUGACG